Molecule: ribosomal RNA, 1244 nt
Filed under: Bacillus sp. (in: firmicutes)
Lineage: Bacteria; Bacillati; Bacillota; Bacilli; Caryophanales; Bacillaceae
Also listed under: 1 other name
Description: partial 16S ribosomal RNA
Rfam family: Bacterial small subunit ribosomal RNA
Source: RNAcentral
GUUAGCGGCGGACGGGUGAGUAACACGUGGGUAACCUGCCUGUAAGACUGGGAUAACUCCGGGAAACCGGGGCUAAUACCGGAUGCUUGUUUGAACCGCAUGGUUCAAACAUAAAAGGUGGCUUCGGCUACCACUUACAGAUGGACCCGCGGCGCAUUAGCUAGUUGGUGAGGUAAUGGCUCACCAAGGCGACGAUGCGUAGCCGACCUGAGAGGGUGAUCGGCCACACUGGGACUGAGACACGGCCCAGACUCCUACGGGAGGCAGCAGUAGGGAAUCUUCCGCAAUGGACGAAAGUCUGACGGAGCAACGCCGCGUGAGUGAUGAAGGUUUUCGGAUCGUAAAGCUCUGUUGUUAGGGAAGAACAAGUACCGUUCGAAUAGGGCGGUACCUUGACGGUACCUAACCAGAAAGCCACGGCUAACUACGUGCCAGCAGCCGCGGUAAUACGUAGGUGGCAAGCGUUGUCCGGAAUUAUUGGGCGUAAAGGGCUCGCAGGCGGUUUCUUAAGUCUGAUGUGAAAGCCCCCCGGCUCAACCGGGGAGGGUCAUUGGAAACUGGGGAACUUGAGUGCAGAAGAGGAGAGUGGAAUUCCACGUGUAGCGGUGAAAUGCGUAGAGAUGUGGAGGAACACCAGUGGCGAAGGCGACUCUCUGGUCUGUAACUGACGCUGAGGAGCGAAAGCGUGGGGAGCGAACAGGAUUAGAUACCCUGGUAGUCCACGCCGUAAACGAUGAGUGCUAAGUGUUAGGGGGUUUCCGCCCCUUAGUGCUGCAGCUAACGCAUUAAGCACUCCGCCUGGGGAGUACGGUCGCAAGACUGAAACUCAAAGGAAUUGACGGGGGCCCGCACAAGCGGUGGAGCAUGUGGUUUAAUUCGAAGCAACGCGAAGAACCUUACCAGGUCUUGACAUCCUCUGACAAUCCUAGAGAUAGGACGUCCCCUUCGGGGGCAGAGUGACAGGUGGUGCAUGGUUGUCGUCAGCUCGUGUCGUGAGAUGUUGGGUUAAGUCCCGCAACGAGCGCAACCCUUGAUCUUAGUUGCCAGCAUUCAGUUGGGCACUCUAAGGUGACUGCCGGUGACAAACCGGAGGAAGGUGGGGAUGACGUCAAAUCAUCAUGCCCCUUAUGACCUGGGCUACACACGUGCUACAAUGGACAGAACAAAGGGCAGCGAAACCGCGAGGUUAAGCCAAUCCCACAAAUCUGUUCUCAGUUCGGAUCGCAGUCUGCAACUCGACUGCG